AGUGAACGCUGGCGGUAGGCCUAACACAUGCAAGUCGAACGGCAGCACAGUAAGAGCUUGCUCUUACGGGUGGCGAGUGGCGGACGGGUGAGGAAUACAUCGGAAUCUACUUUUUCGUGGGGGAUAACGUAGGGAAACUUACGCUAAUACAGCAUACGACCUACGGGUGAAAGCAGGGGAUCUUCGGACCUUGCGCGAUUGAAUGAGCCGAUGUCGGAUUAGCUAGUUGGCGGGGUAAAGGCCAACCAAGGCGACGAUCCGUAGCUGGUCUGAGAGGAUGAUCAGCCACACUGGAACUGAGACACGGUCCAGACUCCUACGGGAGGCAGCAGUGGGGAAUAUUGGACAAUGGGCGCAAGCCUGAUCCAGCCAUACCGCGUGGGUGAAGAAGGCCUUCGGGUUGUAAAGCCCUUUUGUUGGGAAAGAAAAGCAGCAGGUUAAUACCCCGCUGUUCUGACGGUACCCAAAGAAUAAGCACCGGCUAACUUCGUG
This 492-nucleotide ribosomal RNA is filed under the name uncultured bacterium. Its description in RNAcentral is "partial 16S ribosomal RNA". It matches the Rfam family "Bacterial small subunit ribosomal RNA", at positions 29 to 507 of the family's 1533-position model. The record is from RNAcentral.